Molecule: small RNA, 50 nt
Filed under: Astyanax mexicanus (Mexican tetra)
Lineage: Eukaryota; Metazoa; Chordata; Actinopteri; Characiformes; Acestrorhamphidae
Description: HOXA transcript at the distal tip, conserved region 2 (ENSAMXG00000029745.1)
Source: RNAcentral
ACGCGUCUGCAGGCCAAGGUCAAGUUGAAAGUUGCUGUCUGGCCUCGACG